Molecule: long non-coding RNA, 9023 nt
Filed under: Marmota monax (woodchuck)
Lineage: Eukaryota; Metazoa; Chordata; Mammalia; Rodentia; Sciuridae
Source: RNAcentral
UCGACUAAAAACAAAUCACAACGGACUGGGAAGAUUUUGGUUUCAUUUCUGCUGCAGUUACUAAUUAAUCCUGCAGAAGUAGAAACAGACCAAGGAGAGGGAGGUGGGAAGGAAGAGGCCUGAAGAGAGGAAAACCAGUUGUCAGCCGAGUCCUCACGGGAGUAACUCAGACAAAGGCCACACGACACUUUUAUUCCCCUCUGACAGACGAUCCUUCAGCAAGAACGAGUAAAAAUAAGACUGAGAUCUGUGGACGCCUCAUGCCCCUUGGAGGGGGGUACAUAUAAAUGGAGUCUCAGAGUCUCCACCGGUGAGUCACCAGUGCUAUUUUAGAAGGGCUUUGUCACAGGCAGUGGGAGGCAAAGAGGAGCAGGGGGGGUCUGACAGGAGAGGAAAGAGACCAGGUGGAAGGGAAGGGCGCUGGGUGGCACGGAGCCUGGCAGGGCUGAGAGGUGGGGCCUGGUGGGAGAGGCCGGGAGGCCCGAGACUCGCCUUCCUCUCCUGGGGAGGAGCCAGCCGGUGCCGGGCAGUGGAGGGUGGGAGGCCAGGGGAGGAAAUUCAGAGGAAUCUCAGGUAGGAGGAAGUUGUCCCCCGCCCCCAGAGAGACGUCAACCAACGUGUGUUGAUUUCUGGUCACGCUGUGGGCAGCUGCCAAGGCUGUGCGGCCACUUCCUUCCGAGGCCCCUGACUGCCCUCCCUGAGGCAGAAGUGCCGCAGGGGACGCUGGGGAGAAGCCUCACCUUCUAGAACAGCCCGGAGGACCGUGGAUGGCAGUGAUCUCGGCCAGUUCUAGCAGGGCCCUCCUCCUGCCCUGUCCCCAGGAGCCCCCGUCAUCUGCUCAGUGCAGGUCCGAGCGCCCCCACUCCGUAAGACUGGAGGGGUGGGCGCGGGGAGGGCUGGGGAGCAGAGUUCUGGCAAACCACCCACCACAGGUCAGGGGUGAGGGCUUUUCUAGAGCUUUCUCAGGCCCCUCGUGGGACUCUGCCCUGAACUGUGGGUCCUGGGGACCUUUCAUUGCUAGUCUUGUCUGCUGUGUGGCUGCCGCUCGGGCAACGGGGCCUGCAGGGCCGCCACUAACCAGUCGCUGAGUCGGCGCUGCUCAGAGGAGCACGAGGCACAGCCCUUGCCAUGCUGGUCGGCAGACAGUAGUUACAGGUGACGAUGCCCACCCAUGAGGACAUAGCAACAAAGAAGGCAGAGGUCCCCGAAGAUGGCCUGGUAAAUGGAAGGACGGAGAUGACAGCACAUUUCUUUCAGAGAAUCAGCUCCACGAGGCCGGGGGUGGCUGCCUGGCUGGGUUGGCUGAGCUCUGGGUUGCUUCCUGGCUCAGUGGGAAGGGCACUGGGCCUGCUCACUGGUCUUUGUCCUGGACAUCAAGCAGGCUGGUGGUGACCUGCACUCAGGUCAUUUGGUGACUUGGGUAGGGCUGGUGGUGCCUGGGUCUCAGAGAAGGUGCAGGUCACUGUGUGAGUUUGUGCCGUGGAUGAAGGGGUGUCGUCUGGCCCACGGAGGAUGAGCAGAUAGUAGCAAAUAGUAGGAGCCAUGUGAGCACAAGUCGCCGAAGUAGAAAGGCCAGGGCGGUUUGGUUAAGCUGCCCCUCCCACCAGACUCUAACUCCGUGUUGGCCAGGCCCGUGUUUGUUCUACCCAGGGCUGCACGGCAAUGCCUGGCGGAGAGCAGGGCACCAGGCAAACACUGCACAUGUGUCCUAGAGGAGUAAGGAGUGGCAGGAGAGUCGCCGUGACCGUCACACACCUGUGCCCACACCAGCGGCAACAGUGAGUCACAACACACUGUGCUCAUCCCGACUCUUCCUGGAGGCUGCAGGCCCCAGACCACAGCCAGGAGCACAGCGACCAGUCCUGCCCCUUGGCCUCCCCGGUGUGCUGCUGCAGCUCAGCUUCAGAAGAGCUUCGCUUCACCUCUGUGCGCUUUAUGAGAGAGCCAGCGGCUCUGCUGGGAUGGAGCACGUCCACAUGGAACGCGUGCAGAGGAAGAGAGGUCCUAGGUCCACGCCACGCCUCCCGCCCGACUAUCAGCCCUAGUACUCGUUGUUUUAUACAACAGGCAGAUUGAUUAUUAGUGGAACCUCAUCAGUACGCUCAUCAUUUCUGUGGCUAGUUUUCUCCCUUGACUGGGAUUCCCGGACUUAUUAGCACAUUACAGAACUCAAACUUUGUGGCCUGUUUGUUUGGAAGAAGUUAUCUUGGGCUUUGAGGAAUCAGAAUUAUUUAAAUAUUUUGAUUGACAACAACAAAGUAAUUUAAUAGCUACACCUCAUUCAGACCAACUGUCUUUUGACAUCUGUCAAGAAACCAGGUUUGCAUGUUAGAUUAUAAUUUGUGUUUGCAUGAUUAAAUGUCAGUGUACUCUAAAAGUUUACAUUCUGUACAGUAGAUUUGUGAUAUUUAAUAAGGAAGUCAUCAGAGAGGGAUUGCUUGGUGCAGCUGGGUUUGUUUCUUGGUCUGAGACUAGUUACAAAUGCAUGUUCAGAUCAUGAAAGUUCACCUGCUUGCUAACUGAUCAUAUGAACCCUUUAUAAUACAAAAUAUGGAAAAGAAUUCAUUUAAUUCAUCCUCUUUUUUCAUCGCAUCUAAGUCUGAAUUCGUUAAGAACACAGGAGAGUUAAACUUGACCACACUGAGGGGUAGCAGAUUAUCUUCAAAGUGAAAGAUUUAGGGUGACUAGAAGUGGGGAGGCUAGCUGAUUUCUGGUCACAUUCACUUUGAAAAAUCAAUUUCACAGAGUUGAUAGGAUUUAGAUCACACUUACCUGUGGAAUUCACAUAACAAAUAGCGCUGUAGGGAAAGGUGAGAGAUGAGAGGUUCGGGCACCUCUUUCCUUCUAGCCACGGAGGCGUUUCUCCACCUCCUGGGCAGUGACAGGAAGGCAGGUGGGCCAGCGGAGGAAAGUUGUACACACACCAAAAGCCCCCAGAACACCCUGCAGGCACGUUGUCCUGAUGCCCUGAAAAUAAGAACCCUUUUUUUAGGACAUUUUUCUUGCAUUGAUUUGCUAAAGUGUCACAGCAAAAGGCAGGAAGGCGGGAGGGUUCUAGUGUUUACAAAUGAAGACGGAGAGGCCAGCCGCUUGCUUGAGACCACAGAGCCCAGGGCAAGGGCAGCUGAGUCCCGGGCCUGGGCCCCUUCUCUCCUUGGUGUUCUUCGAGCACUCUGCAUUGAGCAUUUCUGAUCUUCAUCAUCAGAAAAGGUUCGAUAAGAGUCACCCACAAAGGGCACCCACAGAUCUUUACUGGGAACCUUGUCCACUGAUCGGUGAUCCCUUCCUCCCGCCAGGUCUCAGCUUUCUCAGAACUGGACGCGGAGGUCCCGCUGACUACCAGCAGAACUACAGAAACGCUGGCGUUGUUUUCUCCUGAGACAUUGGCAAACAGAGACAGGGUUUGAAGCCCUGAGGACCUGAGUGUGGCCCAGAAGUCAAGGGGUGAUGCUGGGGAGGCAAGUCACCCUCAGUCAGCACAGCCAGACCAAGGGCCUGUGAACAGACUGGGACAAUCCUAGGACAGUGUGCAGGGGCGAUGUGUUCCAGCUGCAGCUGCUAUUAAGAAAACGUGAUUUACUGUUUUAUGUGGAAAUACGGAGUUGCUCUUACGCUUCACUGAAAAGCAUCCACGAGCCAUGUCAAGGCGGGUACGCCGUGCCCCCUCUGCCAGGCAGUGUUGAGAUGACUCCAGAAGGAGCCUGAGGGAUUCCGUAUGCGUUUUCUGCAAGGAACUUAAAUCUGUUUUGUUAGGACAGCUGUAGAUGAAGAACAGAAAGGACUCUCUUCUAUGGCAGCUACCCUAGCAAGCCUGAAGAAUGGAACCAGCUUCCCCCAUCAGCCACGAUUCCGUCCGUCACAACUCUUCUUUUAAGCCUGGUGUUGGUUUGAGCCAGCCUGGGCUGGGGGUGGUGGGCUGCAGGGUAUUGCUCCCUCCCCAGGAGUCAGUGCAGGGACGGUUUCAGCCUAGUGCCAUCCAUCUCAUCCCUCACCUUCUGAAACUCAGGAGAGACGGCGGAGGGUAGCCUGGUUUGUCUUUCUGUGUAAUUGGCAAAAUCUUGGGGAAGCACCAGAGCAGCUAGCCCAGCUUCCUGGAUGUGUUUUGGAGAGGUACCUCACACCAUCGUGGCCCUGGGGGCCACCAUUCCCUUUUGUUCCUUUAUCUCUGGCACCAAUAUGCUCAGAAUGUCUUGGGUCACAACUGGGUCCACACUCCAUAAGUAAGUUGGGAAGAUAUCUAAAAUACACAAGAAGAGAUAGAAGAAAGGAAACUAAAACCAGCCUCUUGACAUUGAGUUGAGAUUAAAAUUUGCAAAUAAGCAUCCUGUACCCUUUCUGGAUUACAUUUUGUGUGUACAGAUUUUGAACACAAACACCAUUUUAAAAGUGUUGUCAUCUCCUGAUCACACAAAUAAAUCACACGCGCGGCUCUGACACUGUGCUUUAGGCUCUGGAGGAAGAGGGAGAUGGUGACAAAUGAAUAUCAUCUGUCUUUUAUGUUCCUACCCUUCUGAUCCUGAUGCUAAAUUAAAGAUGAGAGAUGAAAGGUUUGGGCUUCUCGUUCCUUCUAACCAAGGAGGCGUUUCUCCACCUCCUGGGCAGUGACAAGAAGCCAGGUGGGCCAGCGGAGGAAAGUUGUACACACACCAAAAGAAUUUAUCUAAGUGCAUGGAAUUUUCAAUUUUUCUGAGCUGUGUCUAUUUCGGGUUACAGAGUCUUGGGACUGGCUUCUCUGAUGGCUAGAGCCCGUGCUGGGAAGGCAAGACAGCGGCAGCAACGUCUCUUGUGUUUGCACGACACAGAUUUUGCUGACAUACCAAGAAUCAAGGGAUUCAAAAUCAUUAAGACCGUUACCUUUGAUUUAAAAUGAACAGAAUAACAAAGCUCUGUCGAGUGGACCUGUUUAGCCACUUUUCUUUGAUGCUGUCUUGAUGGAAUGAGUGUAGACUUCAGCUAUCAAGUGACUCACAGCUUUGGGACAGAGAGGCCCUGGCCUCAGGUUCUAGCCUGGAUAGUCGUUGGCUCUGUGACUAUUAAUAAAUUGCUUCAUUUCCUCCUCUGUAAAUAGCAUGGCCUGCCUUGCAUAAGGGAGCCAAAUGGCUCAGUGAUGAGCAAAGUAGAUACCAGAAGAUUGCCUUUCUAGAAGGGGCAGCAGUGGGAACGCACACUCUCUCGCACGCUCAGACCAGACUGUGCUGGGAGGUGGUGGAUACCAUCAAGAAACGUGCAGGAGGUUAUGGGAUAGGACGGGGCGUGUGGGGAGGGAUGCGUCAGGAUGUCUUCUCUGGUAAUCUCAUGGGCCAGAAGGAAGCCAGAGGGCUGUGCAGACACCUCACUGGAAGACAUCCCAGGGGCGAGGCAAGAAGGCCAGGGAGCCCACAGGGGCCUUGGGGCCACAGCGUGCUGUGAGUUUUCUUUGGAGUAGAAUGAGGAAGGGUUAGAGACGUUUGGGCAGAGCCAUGGUGUAAUUUGUUUUACAUCUUUAAAGAAUCCUUCUGCUAACUGUGGGGAGAACACAGUUCUAAGGGGUUAGGAGUGGCAACAGAGAUUCCACUUAAACUACUAACUAACGUAGGCAAGAAAUGGGAGUGACUGGGGUGGGUGGCAGCAGAAGCUUUGAAAAAUGAUCACAUUUGGGAUUUAUUUAUUUUUGUCCAUAUUUUAAAUAGUUUUGCUGAGGUAUAAUUUAUACAUCACAAAAAUUUAUCCAUUUAAAAAUAAAAAGAGCAUGUUUCCAGCAGAUUUAGAGUUGCACAAGCAUCACCACAGUCAUUUUAGGUCCCUUCCGUCACCCCCGAAGGCCCCUCACUCCCAUUGGCCUCCAGUCCCCCGCCAGCCCUGACCGGCUUUCCCUGGACACUUCACGCAGAGGGCUCCAGCCGUGCGGAGACCUCGAGUCCUGCUCCUUCCGUUGGCGUUGCAUUUUGAGGUUCAUCCAGAUCAUGGCGCAGAGCAGUCGCGCACUCCUGUGUCUGAGUGGCACCGCAGCUGAGUUCUCCAGACGCGUUUGCUCUUCACCAGCUGGUGGACAUUAGAUGGCCGUGCUCUGCGUCUGAGGUGAACAGUGCCGUGUGAGUCUCACCUGCAAGUCUGUGGGGACGUCCUCACUCUCCUUGGGUGGAGACCUGAGGCUCCCUGUGCGGGCGUGUUCUCUUCUUAAGGAACUGGAAACCUGUUUUCCAAAGUGACUGCACCAUCUUAUGUCAGCAUUCAGCAGUGUGAGUGUUUGGGUUUCUCCAGACCCUUCUCCAAGCCAGCCAAAGGAGCCUGUGGAAGGAGCGUGGACGAUGGAUCCAGUGCAAACCUGAAGAAGGCCGAAUUCGCACAGAGGGGUUUUGUGGGCUGGGAGGUUUUGAGGAGGCUUGCUUCUGACUGAUCUUUUACUCAAGGUCAUCAGCUGAGGGUGGAAAAGAAGAUAGAAAGGUGUUGUCAGUUUGGAAAGAGAGAAGAAAGCAAGAAACGGAAAUCUACAAAAAUAUCUGAGCUGUUCAACUUGAGAACCUGGUUAGCCUGAAGGAGGGAGGGAGGGAGCAGCAAAGGCGUUUUGUUGUAGCGAGGGCACUGGUGACGAUGGAUCCCAGGGACCAUGAGGGAGAGACAGUAGUGCAGGGUGGCAGGGUCACCGUGUUGGGGUUACAGUGGGGUUGAAGAGCUGUUGGAUCAGGGUACUAGAAGUAGGACAUGCAGAGGCAGGCGUGUGGAGGGAGCCCAGGUGACAGACGGGUGAUAGACAGGGUGCCACAUUGUGGUGACGACGUUGCAUUGGCCACAGAGGUAAAGGUCUAAGGUCGAGGUCAUCAGCCCAAUAUUUGAAAAUACAGACUUCCACGGGUGGGUAUGGUAAUCGGCAAGAUCGACAGCAGGAGCACUGUCCGAGGCAAGCCGGGGGCUGCUCAGCUCACAGGUGAGCACCCCCACAGUCUUCAACAGUGUUCACUGAGCGACCUAAAACGCCAUUUCCUGGGUGUUACACACGGGGACAGACGUUGGUUCGUGUUGUUCUGUGCUGUGGCCGAGGACUUGGUGCUGUCCGCGUGAAGUUGUGUCUGGUAGAGGGCCAGGUGUCCAGGACAGCAUACACUGCUGCUAUGCUCUCCAGGUCCCAGCUGCACCGCCUUGUGGUCCCAACACUGUCCCAUGGGCCGGUGCUGGCUCUGACCCCUCUCCUAAGCACCCUGCAGCUCCUCCAGGGCCCUUGCACAGCGCCUUGCACAGCUCGGGAACCAGGAGGGCACAGGGGGGCCACUGGGCCCCGUGAGAAGCCCACAGCCCUUCCUCCUGGGCUCAGGGUAUAGACUCCUGCAUCAGGCGCGGUGCUAAGCCAAGCCCAUGCAUCAGGAGUCAGGAAGAGCACGGAGGCCAGGACCCAGCCCCACUCGGAGGCCUGCUGGGGGUGCUGCUCAACAGAGUCCCCUCCUCCUUGUAAGACUCUGACCUGCAGCUCUGCAGUCCUCACUACCCCCUGACUUCAGUGACAGCCUUGGCCCCAUGCCCCCCACAGCAGGAGUGUCCUUCAACAGCCUCCCGUGCAGCUUGGUGCCCCUUAUAGACAGUGUCCGUGUUCCCCUCCUGCUCCAGGUCCUCCUGUUGGCCCUGCCUCAGGGUCACUGGAUUCCCAGGGGCUUGGUGGAGGGAGCUGUCACCUCCACAGGUGCCCCCUCCAGAUGCCCCAGCCAUUCUGCCUCUGUGCCAUCACACGGCACGGCAGGCUGUGCCAAAUGCAAACCCACAGCUGGUGAAACAUCUGCAAACCAGCAGAAGCACCUUUGGAGAGAGUGUGGAACCGAGGAGCACUCUAUCUGGGCUCUGGGGACUGGACCGGGCUGGACCCCGGCUCUUCAGUCUGAGAUAAACCCUAGAUGCCAUUCAGUCUUCUCAUUUUCACACUCCUAGAAUGUUCUGUGCAUCCUGCCACAAUUAUUAAAGAACAUGUGGUUUCAAAGUAUUACCUUUUCCUCACAGGCACUGACAAAUGUCUUUCCCUCCCCCAAGACACAAAGGUAAAAUUAUAAUUGUGAAAUUAAACCUUGAGGACACACCAAAGUAAAAAAACAAAAAAACAAAAAACAAAACAAAACCCGGUGAAAUUCACCAAUAAUCCUACCAACCAGAUCAUGGAGUUGUUGAUAUUUCUAUUUGCUUCCUCCUCAGGCCUGUGUGAUUUCCUCGAAAUAGAAUUGGGACAGUAGCUUCCCCACUGCCCAGAUUAUCCACAGGGAGAACUGCUCCAAAAGCCCAGUGGCUGACUAACUUGCAGUAGUACUGCAUCUUAUCAACAAGCACUGCAAUACCACAAUAGUGGAUCUGAUAAUCAAGAUGGCUGCCUGGUGACCAAGAGGAGGGGGUAGUGUAUACAGUGAGGAUACACUGGACAAAGGGAUGAUUCCUAUGCCAGGCAGGUUAUAGGGGAAUGCUGUGAGAUUUCAACUUGCUACUCAGAAUGGUGCACUAUUUAAAAUUUAUACAUUGUCUAUUUCAGAAAUUUUCUAUUUAAUUGUUUCAGGCUGAUUGUGUGUAAUUGAAAAUGUGGUAAGCAAAACUAGAUAACAGGGACUGCUGUGAUUUUUUUUUAACUCUAAAAAAAUCCACUAGAGAUUUCUUAAAGAUCUUAUUACUGAUUAGUUUGAAAGAAAAAAAGACAAAAUAAAAUUAUAGCUAAUACAAAUCAUCUCCUAUUUCUGAUUUUUUUUGAAGCAACCUCUUUCAGAGCCUGACCCUCCCAGUCUAUAGUCCUAUUUAUAAUCACAAGAAAAAGAAAAGCAAUAAAACAAAAGAUGUGAGCUGACAUUUCCAAUUUUUGUCCUGCCUCAAUGUAGUGGGAUCCCUUUGCCUCCCUUCAGUGAGUAGUGGCCAGGUGCUAUGAUUGGUAGGUUCCCUUAGGACCCUGAGAUGUUGGGGAAAGGGCCAAAUCAUAAAUGCCACUCCAUAAUUCUGGUGUUGGAGAUAUUUUUUAUCUCCCCCCAGAAGAUGUCUGCAAAAUUGUUUGUGGGUGAUUUGAGCUGAGCUCUCCAACUCCUUUUUCA